RNAcentral lists this transfer RNA (90 nucleotides) under candidate division MSBL1 archaeon SCGC-AAA261O19. Its description in RNAcentral is "tRNA-Leu". It matches the Rfam family "tRNA". From Rfam's summary of the family: Transfer RNA (tRNA) molecules are approximately 80 nucleotides in length. Lineage: Archaea; Methanobacteriati; Methanobacteriota. The record is from RNAcentral.
GCGGGGGUGCCCGAGCUAGGUCUAAGGGGCCGGACUUAAGAUCCGGUGGCCGUAGGGCCUUCCUGGGUUCGAGUCCCAGCCCCCGCACCA